UACGUAGGGUGCGAGCGUUGUCCGGAAUUAUUGGGCGUAAAGAGCUUGUAGGCGGUCUGUCGCGUCUGCUGUGAAAAUCCGGGGCUCAACCCCGGACUUGCAGUGGGUACGGGCAGACUAGAGUGUGGUAGGGGAGACUGGAAUUCCUGGUGUAGCGGUGAAAUGCGCAGAUAUCAGGAAGAACACCCGUGGCGAAGGCGGCUCUCUGGGACGGUACUGACGCUGAGACGCAAAAGCGUGGGGAGCGAACAGG
RNAcentral lists this ribosomal RNA (253 nucleotides) under uncultured bacterium. Its description in RNAcentral is "partial 16S ribosomal RNA". It matches the Rfam family "Bacterial small subunit ribosomal RNA", at positions 524 to 776 of the family's 1533-position model. The record is from RNAcentral.